Non-coding RNA from Ictidomys tridecemlineatus (thirteen-lined ground squirrel), 72 nucleotides. NCBI's taxonomy places the organism in Eukaryota, Metazoa, Chordata, Mammalia, Rodentia, Sciuridae. The record is from Rfam.
UGAGAUGUAGCUCAGGGGCAGAGCACUUGUCUAACACAUAGGAAGCCCUGGACUCAAUCCUCAGCACCACAA